UGCCAGACUCCUACGGGAGGCAGCAGUGGGGAAUAUUGCACAAUGGGGGGAACCCUGAUGCAGCGACGCCGCGUGGGCGAGGAAGUAUUUCGGUAUGUAAAGCCCUAUCAGCAGGGGAGAAGAAAUGACGGUACCUGAAUAAGAAGCACCGGCUAAAUACGUGCCAGCAGCCGCGGUAAUACGUAUGGUGCAAGCGUUAUCCGGAUUCACUGGGUGUAAAGGGAGCGUAGACGGCCAUGCAAGCCAGGGGUGAAAGCCCGGGGCCCAACCCCGGGACUGCCCUUGGAACUGUGCGGCUAGAGUGCGGGUGGGGCAGGCGGAAUUCCUGGUGUAGCGGUGAAAUGCGUAGAUAUCAGGAGGAACACCGGCGGCGAAGGCGGCCUGCUGGACUGCGACUGACGUUGAGGCUCGAAAGCGUGGGGAGCGAACAGGAUUAGAUACCCGAGUA
RNAcentral lists this ribosomal RNA (448 nucleotides) under uncultured bacterium. RNAcentral describes it as "partial 16S ribosomal RNA". It matches the Rfam family "Bacterial small subunit ribosomal RNA", at positions 329 to 792 of the family's 1533-position model. The record is from RNAcentral.